CGAGGUGAGUCACGGCGAGGUGAU
This 24-nucleotide non-coding RNA is filed under the name Arabidopsis thaliana (thale cress). Lineage: Eukaryota; Viridiplantae; Streptophyta; Magnoliopsida; Brassicales; Brassicaceae. The record is from RNAcentral.